CCUACGGGGUGCAGCAGUGAGGAAUAUUGGUCAAUGGACGAGAGUCUGAACCAGCCAAGUAGCGUGAAGGAUGACUGCCCUAUGGGUUGUAAACUUCUUUUAUAUGGGAAUAAAAUGUUCCACGUGUGGGAUUUUGUAUGUACCAUAUGAAUAUGGAUCGGCUAACUCCGUGCCAGCAGCCGCGGUAAUACGGAGGAUCCGAGCGUUAUCCGGAUUUAUUGGGUUUAAAGGGAGCGUAGGUGGAUUGUUAAGUCAGUUGUGAAAGUUUGCGGCUCAACCGUAAAAUUGCAGUUGAAACUGGCAGUCUUGAGUACAGUAGAGGUGGGCGGAAUUCGUGGUGUAGCGGUGAAAUGCUUAGAUAUCACGAAGAACUCCGAUUGCGAAGGCAGUUCACUGGACUGCAACUGACACUGAGGCUCGAAAGUGUGGGUAUCAAACAGGAUUAGAUACCCUGGUAGUC
Molecule: ribosomal RNA, 460 nt
Filed under: uncultured bacterium
Lineage: Bacteria
Description: partial 16S ribosomal RNA
Rfam family: Bacterial small subunit ribosomal RNA
Source: RNAcentral